UACGGAGGGUGCUAGCGUUGUUCGGAAUUACUGGGCGUAAAGGGCGCGUAGGCGGCCGUUUGCGUCGGAUGUGAAAGCCCGGGGCUCAACCUCGGAACGGCAUUCGAUACGGGACGGCUGGAGACCGGGAGAGGAGAGUGGAAUAGCCAGUGUAGAGGUGAAAUUCGUAGAUAUUGGCUGGAACACCGGUGGCGAAAGCGGCUCUCUGGCCAGGUUCUGACGCUGAGGCGCGAAAGCGUGGGGAGCAAACAGG
RNAcentral lists this ribosomal RNA (253 nucleotides) under uncultured bacterium. RNAcentral's name for it is "partial 16S ribosomal RNA". It matches the Rfam family "Bacterial small subunit ribosomal RNA", at positions 524 to 776 of the family's 1533-position model. The record is from RNAcentral.